Non-coding RNA from Pimephales promelas (fathead minnow), 270 nucleotides. NCBI's taxonomy places the organism in Eukaryota, Metazoa, Chordata, Actinopteri, Cypriniformes, Leuciscidae. The record is from RefSeq and is a predicted model, not a curated record.
UCGGGCCUGAGGAGGAUGAAUGCUACUGGCCACCAACAAGGAUGAACAUGGCAAAGGCGGUCAUGGAGCAACAGGACCCUCACACUGACUGGGCGACAUACAAGUUGACUGUCAAGAGAAAAGUUGCUACGUAUGAAAUUGCCCGCAGAAAAUUAGUGGAGUAUGAGCAAAACACUGAUGUACCAACCGAGUCUGAUUCUACAGUGAAGACUGGAAGGGGGAAGCGCAAAAAGAGGCGAGUGAUUUUGUCUAGUGAGGAUGAGGAUGAUG